This is a non-coding RNA of Nicotiana tabacum (common tobacco), 603 nucleotides long. The record is from RefSeq and is a predicted model, not a curated record. Lineage: Eukaryota; Viridiplantae; Streptophyta; Magnoliopsida; Solanales; Solanaceae.
UGUAAAUGAGUGCGCACAAGACCUAACUUUGGACAAUCAUAUAUCCAGUUAUAUAAGGAGUUGUGUGAUCCACAAACUAUCAAAUUACAUCCCUUUGGGUCUAGUUUCCGAUGCAACAAACCAUUCGUCAUUUUGAGGUGUAAACAGAAAGUUAUGACCAUUUUACUGGGCAUAUGUCUCUAGAGCGCCCAGAUGCGCAAUUGCGCUAGUGAACUCACAUAUUGCGAAGUUUUCUGCCUUCGUCGCGCUACUUUAGCGCGCCCAGGUGCACAACCGCGCUAGUAGCAGGCCCCUAAAUACCCCAAGACCGGGUAUAGAGAGUUCCCAAGUUAUUUUUGGAGCAAGGGCUUGCUCUCUCAAGAGGAAUCCGUCCCACUCAUCAUUUCUAUGAUCCAAGAUUUUCCUUCAAAUCCUUGAAUUUAUCAAGAACACCACAAGUGGGGAUUCUUAAAAUUCGUACUACAAGAGAUUGAAGUUACCUAAGAGUAGUGGAUCAUUGUUGUACCAUUAAAGGGCAAGUCCCAGAUAUGUAUGGCUAAACCCCGUCUUUUAGAAAUCGAGCUUCAUCAAUGUUUGUGUGAUUUUGGAUAGAUUCGAUGCGCG